UGGGGAAUAUUGGACAAUGGGCGCAAGCCUGAUCCAGCCAUGCCGCGUGUGUGAAGAAGGCCUUCGGGUUGUAAAGCACUUUCAGCGAGGAGGAAGGGUGGUGUGUUAAUAGCACAUCAUUUUGACGUUACUCGCAGAAGAAGCACCGGCUAACUCUGUGCCAGCAGCCGCGGUAAUACAGAGGGUGCAAGCGUUAAUCGGAAUUACUGGGCGUAAAGCGCACGUAGGCGGUUAGUUAAGUUGGAUGUGAAAGCCCCGGGCUCAACCUGGGAAUUGCAUUCAAAACUGGCUAACUAGAGUAUGUGAGAGGGGGGUAGAAUUCCAAGUGUAGCGGUGAAAUGCGUAGAGAUUUGGAGGAAUACCAGUGGCGAAGGCGGCCCCCUGGCACAAUACUGACGCUGAGGUGCGAAAGCGUGGGGAGCAAACAGG
This 429-nucleotide ribosomal RNA is filed under the name uncultured bacterium. RNAcentral's name for it is "bacterial SSU rRNA". It matches the Rfam family "Bacterial small subunit ribosomal RNA", at positions 355 to 776 of the family's 1533-position model. The record is from RNAcentral.